CUCUGGGGGCGAGGCGGCGGCGGGAGCGGGAAUGGGUCCGGCUGGGAGUCAGCGGGGUUGCGUGAGGUAUUCGGCGGGAGCUUUUCGCCGUGAGGGCCUUGAGACACCGGAGCACGUUUCCCAGAGAUGCUGUGGAUGCCCCAUCCUUGGCAGCGUUCAAGUCUGGUUUGGCCGGUGCUCUGAGCAGCCUGGUCCCGUGGAAGGGUAUCCCUGCGCGUGGCAGGGGGUUGGAACUGGGUGACUUCCCAGGUCCCUUCCAACCCGAGCCGUUGUGUAAUUCUAUGAUCCCGUUGAAAGAUUCGCAGAAUAUUCUGAGUCGGAAGGAGUCCCCAAGGAUCCUUGAGUCCAGCUCUUAAGUAAAUGGCCCAUAUGGGGAUUGCACCCACCACCUUGGUGUUAUCAGCACUGUGUUCUAACCAGCAGCAACUACAGAAAGUUAAAUUUAACUACAAAUACCAAUGUGUUCUGUCAAUGAACCUGCAUGUCACCGUGAGGACAUCACAACAUCCCUGCUGUAUGCUGCUUUUCUUGAGGAUUUUGAAGCCCAGAUUACGUGGUCUGGUGGAGACAUAUAGGCGCAAACUCUGCCAUUUCACAAGCAGGAUUAAAAGUAAGAUCAGGAUACACCUGGCUCAAAUGCGUGAAACUGAUGCAGCGUGUCGAAUUUCAGGUUAUCCUGAAAUGGACCAAGGUAAAAACAAAUUAUACAGCUUUAGCGAUGAAAAGAAUGAAAACAAAGAAAAUCUUGCAAAAAAUUACUGUCAUGUUGCCUGUGUAUCAGAUGCCUUAAAAUAAGAGUGCUUGCUGUUGUGACAUGAGCCCAAGCAUAAUCCUUAUGCGUCUCACUCCUGUGAAAUGAACGCCUUGUUUGGAGAAGUAGCUGCUUAUUUUCAGCUUUAGGAACCCUGCAGUUCUGACUUCUCUUUCAUAUUCCAAGAGAAAGGACAGAUGAACCCAGUUUGUGCUUUAGUGUCUGUCACAUUUGCAGCAUUAAAACCCAGACUUUUGCUGGGGAAAUUAAAAGCCCCUAAGGCUCAAUCAAGGUGUAAACAUCAUAGGAAAAUCAGUUGAAAGCUGGCUCUAAAGGCUCAACUCACCCUGCAGAAGAUGCUUGUGCCUUAGAGCUGGUUUCUGAAGGAAAGCAGCAUUUCUGGAUGUGUGGAAUGUAGCAUUAGAGCUGAGAGAUGCUGAGAAAAUCCAUUUAAGGGGUCAUGAUGUGGAUCAUGUUUUGAAAUGUGUUUAUUGUCACAUGACUGAGUAUAUUUUAAUGAAAAAUCACACGUGGAGAAAAAAAACUUACCAGUGCUUCAUCUGUGAAAGUGCUUUUACAUCACUUUAUGAAGUGCCUGCAAAAUGCACAGAAAGAGCCAUUAGAGGAAACUUCACCUCAGUGCACAUCAUCUGAAACUGAGCAGAUAAGCAAUCUUCAUGUAGCUUGCUUGGCAUUAUCAGGAUAUGGUUAUGUGCCCACACAGUGAUUUUACCAGUAAGUCAGAUUUUAUUUUUCAUUCUCAUCCAGUUGCCUUCUCGGCUUAAACUUAUCGCUGCAAAUAACUUUAUUUGGUCAAUGCAAAAUUUAUUAGAGUAUUUCAGUAUUAACUGUAAAUGCUAUCAUCAGAAGCUGCUGUAAAACAUCUUCAGGAUGGUUUGAGCAAAGAAAGUGUAACAACUGUAAAAAUUCUAAAAAUGUCUUGUAAAUGUUGACAUUUUGGUGAUGUUCAUCUGCAAAAUCCUGUCUUAUUUCAUAUUUGGAUUCUGAAUAUUUUUAUGAGUAGUUGACCAUCGUAUGCUAACAGUUUCAAUAUCAGUGACUUCUUGAUGACUCUUAACAUUACUGUGAAGGUACUUCUAUCAAGGUGAAUGUCUUUUAUCUCUACAUUUUGUGACAUUUUUAAUAGUUAAAUGUUAUCUCCAUUUCUAAAUCAAAAACCUUGAAUAGCAUAAUCUGUCUUCUAAACAAUAAAAGGACAUUGUUCCUGUAUUCUA
Long non-coding RNA from Catharus ustulatus (Swainson's thrush), 1986 nucleotides. RefSeq lists it as uncharacterized. The record is from RefSeq and is a predicted model, not a curated record. NCBI's taxonomy places the organism in Eukaryota, Metazoa, Chordata, Aves, Passeriformes, Turdidae. The transcript has 2 exons.